CUUGAUGAAUCGAGAAUUUUGUUUUGAAGAAUGUUGACAGUUUACCCUCAUUAUUUAUCUAUAACUAAUUUGUUGAUGCGACAUGAUAUCUUUUUUUUUUUUGUCUAUUGGUAUCAGGCCAUAUUCGUGCUCAAGGCUUGAUAUUCAGUCAAGUCAGCAUUAAACAUCGCUUGAUGCUCCUUUCUUUCUUUCCUUUUUUUUUUUUUCGUCUCUCCAUGACUGAAUGACACAUGCAUUUCACUCAAUUUUUUUUAUACAGUUGUGAUGGGAGGUGUUUGAGGUCCUUCCAUGCAACUAAAGAUGCUGGUGCUGACUCAGCCUGUAAAUCUCUUGGCAUGUCUAAGGCUCAAGUGAAAGCAAUUCAAAACUUAUUGUGCGCAAAUUGCCAAUACAAACGGCAUCAGUGUUUUUUUUUUUUUUUUUAUUGGCAAGUUGGGCUCUUCUGAUAAAUCCAGCAACGCUGAGGUUUGUUAUAUUCUAGCAGAAUUUUCAAGUCUUAAAAAAUAUUAAUUUGAUCUUUUCUUGUUUGAAUGAUUACAA
Molecule: long non-coding RNA, 540 nt
Organism: Magnolia sinica
Lineage: Eukaryota; Viridiplantae; Streptophyta; Magnoliopsida; Magnoliales; Magnoliaceae
Exons: 2
Source: RefSeq, a predicted model, not a curated record